UACGUAGGGUGCGAGCGUUAAUCGGAAUUACUGGGCGUAAAGCGUGCGCAGGCGGUUUUGUAAGUCUGUCGUGAAAUCCCCGGGCUUAACCUGGGAAUUGCGAUGGAGACUGCAAGGCUAGAAUCUGGCAGAGGGGGGUAGAAUUCCACGUGUAGCAGUGAAAUGCGUAGAUAUGCGGAGGAACACCGAUGGCGAAGGCAAUCCCCUGGGCCUGCACUGACGCUCAUGCACGAAAGCGUGGGGAGCAAACAGG
RNAcentral lists this ribosomal RNA (253 nucleotides) under uncultured bacterium. RNAcentral's name for it is "partial 16S ribosomal RNA". It matches the Rfam family "Bacterial small subunit ribosomal RNA", at positions 524 to 776 of the family's 1533-position model. The record is from RNAcentral.